GGGCCCGCACAAGCGGUGGAGCAUGUGGUUUAAUUCGACGCAACGCGCAGAACCUUACCAGGGUUUGACAUCCCGUGCCACGCUCAGAGAUGGGCGGUCCCCGCAAGGGGCGCGGAGACAGGUGCUGCAUGGCUGUCGUCAGCUCGUGUCGUGAGAUGUUGGGUUAAGUCCCGCAACGAGCGCAACCCUCGCCUUUAGUUGCCAUCAUUCAGUUGGGCACUCUAGAGGGACCGCCGGCGGCAAGCCGGAGGAAGGUGGGGAUGACGUCAAGUCCUCAUGGCCCUUACACCCUGGGCUACACACGUGCUACAAUGGCGGUGACAGUGGGCAGCUAACCCGCGAGGGCAAGCUAAUCCCAAAAAGCCGUCCCAGUUCAGAUUGCACUCUGCAACUCGGGUGCAUGAAGGUGGAAUCGCUAGUAAUCGCAGAACAGCAGGCUGCGGUGAAUACGUUCCCGGGCCUU
This 463-nucleotide ribosomal RNA is filed under the name uncultured bacterium. RNAcentral's name for it is "bacterial SSU rRNA". It matches the Rfam family "Bacterial small subunit ribosomal RNA", at positions 917 to 1382 of the family's 1533-position model. The record is from RNAcentral.